Molecule: ribosomal RNA, 580 nt
Filed under: Pycnora xanthococca
Lineage: Eukaryota; Fungi; Ascomycota; Candelariomycetes; Candelariales; Pycnoraceae
Description: eukaryotic LSU rRNA
Rfam family: Eukaryotic large subunit ribosomal RNA
Source: RNAcentral
CCAACAGGGAUUGCCUCAGUAACGGCGAGUGAAGCGGCAACAGCUCAAAUUUGAAAUCUGGCUCUCUCAGGGUCCGAGUUGUAAUUUGUAGAGGAAGCUUCGGGUUCGGCUCCGGUCUAAGUUCCUUGGAACAGGACGUCAUAGAGGGUGAGAAUCCCGUAUGUGACUGGAAGUCAUGCUCAUGUGAAGCUCCUUCGACGAGUCGAGUUGUUUGGGAAUGCAGCUCAAAAUGGGUGGUAAAUUUCAUCUAAAGCUAAAUACCGGCCAGAGACCGAUAGCGCACAAGUAGAGUGAUCGAAAGAUGAAAAGCACUUUGGAAAGAGAGUUAAAAAGUACGUGAAAUUGUUGAAAGGGAAGCGCUUGCAAUCAGACUUGCCCGCGGUUGAUCAGCCGAUGUUCUCACCGGUGCACUCCUCCGUGGUCAGGCCAGCAUCGGUUUGGGCGACUGGAUAAAGGCUCUAGGAAUGUAGCUUCCCUCGGGGAGUGUUAUAGCCUAGGGUGCAAUGCAGCCAGCCUGGACCGAGGACCGCGCUUCGGCUAGGAUGCUGGCGUAAUGGUUGUAAGCGACCCGUCUUGAAAC